This 424-nucleotide ribosomal RNA is filed under the name Salmonella enterica. Its description in RNAcentral is "partial 23S ribosomal RNA". It matches the Rfam family "Bacterial large subunit ribosomal RNA", at positions 2402 to 2823 of the family's 2925-position model. The record is from RNAcentral. Lineage: Bacteria; Pseudomonadati; Pseudomonadota; Gammaproteobacteria; Enterobacterales; Enterobacteriaceae.
AAAGCAGGUCAUAGUGAUCCGGUGGUUCUGAAUGGAAGGGCCAUCGCUCAACGGAUAAAAGGUACUCCGGGGAUAACAGGCUGAUACCGCCCAAGAGUUCAUAUCGACGGCGGUGUUUGGCACCUCGAUGUCGGCUCAUCACAUCCUGGGGCUGAAGUAGGUCCCAAGGGUAUGGCUGUUCGCCAUUUAAAGUGGUACGCGAGCUGGGUUUAGAACGUCGUGAGACAGUUCGGUCCCUAUCUGCCGUGGGCGCUGGAGAACUGAGGGGGGCUGCUCCUAGUACGAGAGGACCGGAGUGGACGCAUCACUGGUGUUCGGGUUGUCAUGCCAAUGGCACUGCCCGGUAGCUAAAUGCGGAAGAGAUAAGUGCUGAAAGCAUCUAAGCACGAAACUUGCCCCGAGAUGAGUUCUCCCUGAGACUUAA